UGUUGACAGACUAACAUACAUUAUUAUUGAUAUUUCUGAUCAAGUUUCCGUGAUCCUUAUAAUUCUGAUCAAUUAGAAAAUAUAGUACAGUACUCCAUUUUUAAUCGUAUUUACCGUAUUUACACUUCAGCGAUCGAUAUGUGCGGUUUUCAGCUUUACAUUUCCGUCAGUUGAGGCGCAAAAUUUUCUUUAAAGCAAUAUGGUAUUUUUUAACGGUACUUCUGUAGGAGUUCGAAAUUAAAAUUUUCUUAUAAUUUAAUUUUCUAAUGAUCGUAUCAUUCAUUAAAUCAGAACGAGAAAAUAAUGAAUUUUUCCCAUAAUUUCAUCAGAGAUUGCAUAAAUAAAUACGAUAAUUAUUAAUUUUAUCAUAAGUGAAUAAGUUAUAAGUUAUUUUUUGAAAUAAUUUUUGGAGUUACGUAAAACAAUGAAUUUUUAUUUAUUCUUUCCACCUAAUCGCUGAAAACGUUUUACAUUAAAAAAUAAAACUAAAUAACACUGUUGGUUAGGAUUUAACUCAGCCUAGGUUAUAACGAUACUUGACUAUAACAAACAUCACACUCUUUAGAUGAUAUAAGAGUUCUACUUGAACAUUAAAAUGGCUGUUUAUUUGAACUUCAAUGCUACAUAAUAGAUCUUUAUGGACAUAAUAUAUAUACGAAAAUUUUUUUGAAAUCAACAUUAAUUCAUCGGUCGGAUGAUCACGGUAGAAGUGUAAUGUGCUUCUAUUUAGGAAGAUUCGAAUUCAGUUUCCAAAUUUACAUUCAGAGGUUUUUCAGAAAGGUCUGGACCUAACCCGUUAAAUCCUUAUCCUCUUCCUGAUGGCUAAUCCUAUCGGGAGUCAGUCGGAUUGGCCGCGUGGAAAUGCUUCGGCUUUCCACUCUGGAGGACCCGGGUUUGAGUUUCGGGUCCAAUCUCUUGAAAAAUGUUUAUCAUGGAGUCCGGGCCGGCCCUCGAUCCCCGUCUUUCCCAAUCUGGCUGACCCUUCCGUCAGCCAGAUUGGGGAGCCUAUUGAAGAGUUUUUUCGACCCAUCACUUGGUGGUCUAAUAGAAUGGAAAGUGGCGUCAUCUAUUGACCAAAAAAGAUCUUCAUCAAGAGUGCAGAUAGUCUGUGGUGGAAUCAGAAAUGUUUUAUAUGUCCUUGGGUGGAAUAUAUCGAUGAUGGUGGAUACUAGAAUGCCUUACCGCUUAGCACCAACAAGGGGAAAAUGGCGAUAAACCACAUAGAGAAAAAAAUAUGAAGAAUUUUACAAAAUAAUUUCAGUUUUAAUAUUGUAUAAUAAAAAUAAAAAUUUUUUACACCUAGAUCAGAAUUCAGUUCAGAGUCCAAGAUCUCCAAUUUUCAAGAGCCUUUGGGGUUAGAUUAUAAUAUGUUAGUUACGCUGCCAUAUCACACUUGAGAUAUUCUGGCGGUGGGCCACUUUCAGAGUCUGCCUAUCUUUCAGCUGAACCCAUUAUGACUAGCACCCAUGAUAGGGUCAGCCAAAAGAUUGAAGAAUGGUGUUAAACAAGCCAGGCUCCGGAUCCCUUUUGAAAAACUAGAGAUCGUAGGAUCCGGAUCUUCCACGGUAGUAAGCGAAUGUUUUACCACACGGCCAUCCGACUAGGAGGAGUUGGGUUCGGCCCGUUGAU
This 1629-nucleotide long non-coding RNA is filed under the name Androctonus crassicauda. Lineage: Eukaryota; Metazoa; Arthropoda; Arachnida; Scorpiones; Buthidae. The record is from RNAcentral.